CGCGGAGAUGCAGAUUUUUGC
Molecule: non-coding RNA, 21 nt
Filed under: Caenorhabditis elegans
Lineage: Eukaryota; Metazoa; Nematoda; Chromadorea; Rhabditida; Rhabditidae
Source: RNAcentral